CCACUGGAGUUUUUAAACUCCACAAACAAUGUUAAGGGAUUGACA
This is a non-coding RNA of Gossypium raimondii (Peruvian cotton), 45 nucleotides long. The record is from Rfam. NCBI's taxonomy places the organism in Eukaryota, Viridiplantae, Streptophyta, Magnoliopsida, Malvales, Malvaceae.